This 717-nucleotide ribosomal RNA is filed under the name Salmonella enterica subsp. enterica serovar Infantis. RNAcentral's name for it is "partial 23S ribosomal RNA". It matches the Rfam family "Bacterial large subunit ribosomal RNA", at positions 711 to 1343 of the family's 2925-position model. The record is from RNAcentral. Lineage: Bacteria; Pseudomonadati; Pseudomonadota; Gammaproteobacteria; Enterobacterales; Enterobacteriaceae.
AGACCCGAAACCCGGUGAUCUAGCCAUGGGCAGGUUGAAGGUUGGGUAACACUAACUGGAGGACCGAACCGACUAAUGUUGAAAAAUUAGCGGAUGACCUGUGGCUGGGGGUGAAAGGCCAAUCAAACCGGGAGAUAGCUGGUUCUCCCCGAAAGCUAUUUAGGUAGCGCCUCGUGAAUUCAUCUCCGGGGGUAGAGCACUGUUUCGGCUAGGGGGCCAUCCCGGCUUACCAACCCGAUGCAAACUGCGAAUACCGGAGAAUGUUAUCACGGGAGACACACGGCGGGUGCUAACGUCCGUCGUGAAGAGGGAAACAACCCAGACCGCCAGCUAAGGUCCCAAAGUCAUGGUUAAGUGGGAAACGAUGUGGGAAGGCCCAGACAGCCAGGAUGUUGGCUUAGAAGCAGCCAUCAUUUAAAGAAAGCGUAAUAGCUCACUGGUCGAGUCGGCCUGCGCGGAAGAUGUAACGGGGCUAAACCAUGCACCGAAGCUGCGGCAGCGAACGUAUCACUUAAAGCGAUUCAGCGGGUUACGAUUGACGGAGCGAAGCGACGUCAAAGCGUAUACAAAGUCGAGUCGGUUUAAGGAUACGUUCGUUGGGUAGGGGAGCGUUCUGUAAGCCUGCGAAGGUGGCCUGUGAGGGUUGCUGGAGGUAUCAGAAGUGCGAAUGCUGACAUAAGUAACGAUAAAGCGGGUGAAAAGCCCGCUCGCCGGAAG